Molecule: ribosomal RNA, 429 nt
Filed under: Actinomycetes bacterium
Lineage: Bacteria; Bacillati; Actinomycetota; Actinomycetes
Description: Actinobacteria bacterium partial 16S ribosomal RNA
Rfam family: Bacterial small subunit ribosomal RNA
Source: RNAcentral
UAGGGAAUCUUCCGCAAUGGGCGAAAGCUUGACGGAGCAACGCCGCGUGAGUGAUGAAGGUCUUCGGAUCGUAAAACUCUGUUAUUAGGGAAGAACAAAUAUGUAAGUAACUAUGCACGUCUUGACGGUACCUAAUCAGAAAGCCACGGCUAACUACGUGCCAGCAGCCGCGGUAAUACGUAGGUGGCAAGCGUUAUCCGGAAUUAUUGGGCGUAAAGCGCGCGUAGGCGGUUUUUUAAGUCUGAUGUGAAAGCCCACGGCUCAACCGUGGAGGGUCAUUGGAAACUGGAAAACUUGAGUGCAGAAGAGGAAAGUGGAAUUCCAUGUGUAGCGGUGAAAUGCGCAGAGAUAUGGAGGAACACCAGUGGCGAAGGCGACUUUCUGGUCUGUAACUGACGCUGAUGUGCGAAAGCGUGGGGAUCAAACAGG